UACAGAGGUGGCAAGCGUUGUUCGGAAUUACUGGGCGUAAAGGGCGCGUAGGCGGUCUUGUAAGUUCUGUGUGAAAUCCCUCGGCUCAACUGAGGAACUGCACGGAAAACUGCGAGGCUUGAGUUCGGGAGAGGGAAGCGGAAUUCCUGGUGUAGCGGUGAAAUGCGUAGAUAUCAGGAGGAACACCUGUGGUGUAGACAGCUUACUGGACCACUUCUGACGCUGAGACACGAAAGCGUGGGUAGCAAACAGG
This 253-nucleotide ribosomal RNA is filed under the name uncultured bacterium. Its description in RNAcentral is "partial 16S ribosomal RNA". It matches the Rfam family "Bacterial small subunit ribosomal RNA", at positions 524 to 776 of the family's 1533-position model. The record is from RNAcentral.